This 326-nucleotide unclassified non-coding RNA is filed under the name uncultured fungus. Its description in RNAcentral is "sequence contains ITS1". The stretch from base 1 to 105 matches the Rfam family "5.8S ribosomal RNA", at positions 50 to 154 of the family's 154-position model. Lineage: Eukaryota; Fungi. The record is from RNAcentral.
GAAAUGCGAUACGUAGUGUGAAUUGCAGAAUUCCGUGAAUCAUCGAAUCUUUGAACGCAUAUUGCGGUCGAGGCCUCGGCUGAGACCAUGUCUGCCUCAGCGUCGGUGUGAACCCUCAUUCCCCCCUCCCGGGGUGGGAAUGGACCUGGCCUCCCCAUUGCUUGCGAUGGGCUGGCUGAAAUUCGGAGGUUUAAGCUUGGACCUGUAUGGCAACAGCAAGGUAGGUAGUUUUCUACUCCAGCUGAUGCUUUGGGCACUCGCACAGAACCCGCAGGAAUUCUCACCUUUUCGACCUGAGAUCAGGCAAGGCUACCCGCUGAACUUAA